GUCCAUUGUAAUAGCGAAAUUAGCUAUGCCCUCUCACGGCGGCAACAGGGGUUCGAAUCCCCUAUGGGACGCCA
This 74-nucleotide transfer RNA is filed under the name Brytella acorum. RNAcentral's name for it is "Acetobacteraceae bacterium LMG 32668 tRNA-Glu". The record is from RNAcentral. Lineage: Bacteria; Pseudomonadati; Pseudomonadota; Alphaproteobacteria; Acetobacterales; Acetobacteraceae.